GUGGGGAAUAUUGGACAAUGGGCGAAAGCCUGAUCCAGCCAUGCCGCGUGUGUGAAGAAGGUCUUCGGAUUGUAAAGCACUUUAAGUUGGGAGGAAGGGCAGUAAGUUAAUACCUUGCUGUUUUGACGUUACCGACAGAAUAAGCACCGGCUAACUUCGUGCCAGCAGCCGCGGUAAUACGAAGGGUGCAAGCGUUAAUCGGAAUUACUGGGCGUAAAGCGCGCGUAGGUGGUUCAGCAAGUUGGAGGUGAAAUCCCCGGGCUCAACCUGGGAACUGCCUCCAAAACUACUGGGCUAGAGUACGGUAGAGGGUAGUGGAAUUUCCUGUGUAGCGGUGAAAUGCGUAGAUAUAGGAAGGAACACCAGUGGCGAAGGCGACUACCUGGACUGAUACUGACACUGAGGUGCGGAAGCGUGGGGAGCAAACAGGAUUAGAAACCCGUGUAGUCC
Molecule: ribosomal RNA, 450 nt
Filed under: uncultured bacterium
Lineage: Bacteria
Description: partial 16S ribosomal RNA
Rfam family: Bacterial small subunit ribosomal RNA
Source: RNAcentral